AACCUUCGGGAGGGCGUUUACCACGGUGUGGUUCAUGACUGGGGUGAAGUCGUAACAAGGUAGCCCUAGGGGAACCUGGGGCUGGAUCACCUCCUUACUAUACGAUGAU
RNAcentral lists this ribosomal RNA (109 nucleotides) under Shewanella sp. cp20. RNAcentral's name for it is "partial 16S ribosomal RNA". The stretch from base 1 to 97 matches the Rfam family "Bacterial small subunit ribosomal RNA", at positions 1437 to 1533 of the family's 1533-position model. The record is from RNAcentral. Lineage: Bacteria; Pseudomonadati; Pseudomonadota; Gammaproteobacteria; Alteromonadales; Shewanellaceae.